CCUACGGGGAGCAGCAGUGAGGAAUAUUGGUCAAUGGGCGGAAGCCUGAACCAGCCAAGUAGCGUGCAGGAUGACGGCCCUACGGGUUGUAAACUGCUUUUAUACGGGAAUAACGCGCCUUAAGUGUAGGGCUUUGCAUGUACCGUAUGAAUAAGCAUCGGCUAACUCCGUGCCAGCAGCCGCGGUAAUAAGGAGGAUGCGAGCGUUAUCUGGAUUUAUUGGGUUUAAAGGGUGCGUAGGCGGAAGGUUAAGUCAGCGGUCAAAUGUCGGUGCUCAACACCGGCCUGCCGUUGAAACUGGUCUUCUUGAGUGAGCGAGAAGUAUGCGGAAUGCGUGGUGUAGCGGUGAAAUGCAUAGAUAUCACGCAGAACUCCGAUUGCGAAGGCAGCAUACCGGCGCUCAACUGACGCUGAGGCACGAAAGCGUGGGGAUCGAACAGGAUUAGAUACCCCGGUAGUC
This 459-nucleotide ribosomal RNA is filed under the name uncultured bacterium. RNAcentral's name for it is "partial 16S ribosomal RNA". It matches the Rfam family "Bacterial small subunit ribosomal RNA", at positions 338 to 795 of the family's 1533-position model. The record is from RNAcentral.